This 254-nucleotide ribosomal RNA is filed under the name uncultured bacterium. RNAcentral's name for it is "partial 16S ribosomal RNA". It matches the Rfam family "Bacterial small subunit ribosomal RNA", at positions 524 to 776 of the family's 1533-position model. The record is from RNAcentral.
UACGUAGGUGGCGAGCGUUGUCCGGAUUUAUUGGGCGUAAAGAGCCCGCAGGCGGCUCGGCAAGUUUCAGGUGAAAUCUCCCGGCUUAACCGGGAGGGUGCCUGGAAAACUGCCGGGCUUGAGGCAGGGAGAGGGAUGCGGAAUUCCAGGUGUAGCGGUGAAAUGCGUAGAUAUCUGGAGGAACACCGGUGGCGAAGGCGGCAUCCUGGACCAACACUGACGCUGAGGGAGCGAAAGCCAGGGGAGCAAACGGG